AUACAUAGGGAGCAAGCGUUGUUCGGAAUUACUGGGCGUAAAGCGCGCGUAGGCGGCUAAGUAAGUCGGAUGUGAAAGCCCUGGGCUUAACCUGGGAAUUGCAUUCGAUACUGCUUGGCUAGAGUAUGGUAGAGGGUAGUGGAAUUCCUGGUGUAGCGGUGAAAUGCGUAGAUAUCAGGAGGAACAUCAGUGGCGAAGGCGGCUACCUGGACCAAUACUGACGCUGAGGUGCGAAAGCGUGGGGAGCAAACAGGAUUAGAUACCCCGGUAGUCC
This 274-nucleotide ribosomal RNA is filed under the name uncultured bacterium. RNAcentral describes it as "partial 16S ribosomal RNA". It matches the Rfam family "Bacterial small subunit ribosomal RNA", at positions 523 to 796 of the family's 1533-position model. The record is from RNAcentral.